UACGUAGGGCGCAAGCGUUGUCCGGAUUUAUUGGGCGUAAAGAGCUCGUAGGCGGUCUGUCGCGUCGGAUGUGAAAACCCAGGGCUCAACCCUGGGCCUGCAUUCGAUACGGGCAGACUAGAGUACGGCAGGGGAGACUGGAAUUCCUGGUGUAGCGGUGAAAUGCGCAGAUAUCGGGAAGAACACCCGUGGCGAAGGCGGCUCUCUGGGACGGUACUGACGCUGAGACGCGAAAGCGUGGGGAGCGAACAGG
This 253-nucleotide ribosomal RNA is filed under the name uncultured bacterium. Its description in RNAcentral is "partial 16S ribosomal RNA". It matches the Rfam family "Bacterial small subunit ribosomal RNA", at positions 524 to 776 of the family's 1533-position model. The record is from RNAcentral.